Long non-coding RNA from Passer domesticus (house sparrow), 736 nucleotides. RefSeq lists it as uncharacterized. Lineage: Eukaryota; Metazoa; Chordata; Aves; Passeriformes; Passeridae. The record is from RefSeq and is a predicted model, not a curated record. The transcript has 3 exons.
CACCUGAGCUAUUACUUAGGACAACAUCAGAACCACAGAUACCAAAAAAAAAAAGCAUUAGUGGAAAAGAGCAGAGCAAAAGAGCACUGCAAGAUAACAUCAAAAUCGUCAAACGUUUUUCAUUAAUUAGUUUAAUUAAAAACCUUCACCUAUGUGUUGGGAGCCUAACCACAGAGUGACAUACACAACCAACAGACUGCAAUCAAAAUGACUCUGAAAAGACUACUGAAGCAGGACGUCUGCAGUGCUUGCUCCUUCCACCGCCCAUGGACCGACCACAGGUGAGCACCCGUGCCUGCAGAGCCGACACAGGAGGAAGUGCCGCUGAUCUACCUUCAGUUUAAAGAAAAUAAUCGGAUGCAGUGACCGAGAGAGCCGAGCAGCCCAAACCUGGGUAACAGGUACCGCAGACAUGUCACUGCUGCCACAGGAGGCUCCUGUGGGCUCUGAUGAUUUCCAGGCACGCUAUUUUAAGCAAAUGAGUGAAAACGUUUAUUAAGCCAAGCCGCUCCGAGGCUGCGGUGGAGCCCUGAAUAAGGCGGCCGCGGUAGCGCGCCGUGCCACCGUGGCCCGCCACCGGGCACGCCGCACAGCGAGGCGGCUCCGCAGCUGCACCGGGCUCGGAGGGCCCGCGGCCGCCAAGGGCAGCGCGGCAGCUGCGCGCCCCGGGAGAGGCCCGGCCUUUCCCCGCCCGGCCGGCCGAGCGGGGCCGUUGGCGCGGAGGGAAGGGGUAGCU